UUUCUCCGUUCUCCUACUCAUAGAUUAACCGAUGGCUGUAAGACCUAGAGAAGCAUUAGGAACUGGUCUGUAGUGUCUUCCAGUGUAUGCGUACACACAAUUCACUUUCCUUUUCUUUUUGCCCUUUGUAUAGAUGAUGUGGUUGAGUUACGAAGCCUCUUAUUGCAGUGUUGUCUGCAAGGCCGAAGGGAAGUUAUUAAUGCAUUUGAGCUGCUCUAUCUGAUUGCUCAUCUCCUGAACCUGUUUUAGUUGAUAUAAAAGUGUUCUCUAUUUCAGAAAGCCAGAACACGAGAUUGUGCCCCCUCUUGCUCCAGGCUAUUCCUCAUGUUGCAACCUUUUCCCAUAUAAUUGAAAGGAAGAUGGAAGAAAUUGCAGGAGCUUGCUAUUAUUUGAGCAGGAAUGGUGUUUCCAGCAUGACAUUCAAAACCAGUCAAGACUAUAAAGGGGCUGUGAAGGACGAAAUGCUAUGGAUCCAGAGUGGGAGGGGAGAGUUACCAACAAUGUAUCAAGGAUAAACCGUGACAUGUAUUCCUAAGUUCCAACUUACAUAGCAAAAUUAUAUAGGGAGAAUGCCUACAUUUUGAAAACUCUAUUACAUAGUUUGAAGGUAUGUUUCUUUCAAUUUUCAUUAUUAAAAGGAUCCUUAUUAUUGCUAAUUUGUCAAGCAUCUAUUGUCGAAUAACUCUUUGCUUCAAAUGAGACCUGUGGCGCAAGGGGUAAAUUUAUUAUACAUCUUAUUGUACACAGCAAGCGUCUUCUUUUUUUAUUAAGAGGGGUUAAAUUUGUUACCAUAUGUGCUUGCUCACAACUAAACCAACUAAACCAUGAAUUUUCUUUUCGAUAUGUUUUUUUUCAAACUUAGAUAUCUAAUCAUUAUAACCAUAUUUUCAACUAAAACAAUGCUUCCUUAGCUGGUUUGUACAUGUUACACAAUUUUUUUUUCAAACUUGGAUUUCGCACUGUGAUAACCACAUUUUCAAUAUAACAUCGUUUAACACAUGAGCUUUGUACUACCAAUAUUGAAUAGGUUCUUGUAGAAUGAAACUAUUUUCAUCGACAACAUGGCUUUAGCGGGUCUCUGCGCCAUUUGGCGCAACGGGUCAACUAGUUUGAAUAAGAGAUCAUGACAUUGGAAACCCGAACAUAACUAGUUUCAAUAAGAGAUCAUGAUGUUGGAAACCCGAACAUAACUGAGAUAUGC
Long non-coding RNA from Triticum dicoccoides, 1201 nucleotides. RefSeq lists it as uncharacterized. Lineage: Eukaryota; Viridiplantae; Streptophyta; Magnoliopsida; Poales; Poaceae. The transcript has 3 exons. The record is from RefSeq and is a predicted model, not a curated record.